UUGCGUGAUUGUUCUUGGGAGAGUGUUGGUUUGGUGCAGUUGGAUGAGAUUUUGGUUGUUUUUGCACGGGAUGACAAUGAUUUCUUUGUUGUUUCUCUUCGUUCUAGGUAUGUUUAGAUUGCUAGUGUUUGUGGGCUUGGAAGUCAGCCAAGUCCACAUGACGUAAGUCUAGCAUGUUUACCAAACUCAAAAUCCCUGGACUUGACAGACUGUCAAGCCCAAAGUGCGUGGACUUGGCAUGGCAACCAGGUCCACAAUAACAUGGGUUUUGUAUGUUUGCCAGAUCUAAGGCAUCUGAGUUUGACGUUAGCCAAGUCCAAAGUGUGUGAGCUUGGUUUCAAGGUUUAUUAAUUAUUUUUCAAAGCGGUUGAUUGAUUGUUUCUUAUUUUGAAUACAACAAUCAUCAACAAGAUCCAAGUUGUGCACUUCCGCCCGCGAAGA
RNAcentral lists this long non-coding RNA (441 nucleotides) under Populus trichocarpa (black cottonwood). Its description in RNAcentral is "long non-coding RNA (PTRI_LNC000795)". The record is from RNAcentral. Lineage: Eukaryota; Viridiplantae; Streptophyta; Magnoliopsida; Malpighiales; Salicaceae.